RNAcentral lists this unclassified non-coding RNA (378 nucleotides) under uncultured Oligoflexales bacterium. Its description in RNAcentral is "contains 16S-23S intergenic spacer region". Lineage: Bacteria; Pseudomonadati; Bdellovibrionota; Oligoflexia; Oligoflexales. The record is from RNAcentral.
UCCGGUUUAACACCGGCGGUCUCCCUAGAGUGCCCAACUGAAUGAUGGCAACUAAGGACAAGGGUUGCGCUCGUUAAGGGACUUAACCCGACAUCUCACGAUACGAGCUGACGACAGCCAUGCAGCACCUAAACCACAGGUCCCCGAAGGGAAAAUCCCGUUUCUGGGACUGUCCUGUGUUGUCUAGCCCAGGUAAGGUUCUUCGCGUUGCAUCGAAUUGAACCACAUGCUCCACCGCUUGUGCGGGCCCCCGUCAAUUCCUUUGAGUUUUAAUCUUGCGACCGUACUUCCCAGGCGGGGUACUUAAUGCGUUAGCUUCGGCACUGCAGGGGUCAAUUCCCGCAACACCUAGUACCCAUCGUUUACAGCGUGGACUAC